This 469-nucleotide ribosomal RNA is filed under the name uncultured Acinetobacter sp. RNAcentral describes it as "bacterial SSU rRNA". It matches the Rfam family "Bacterial small subunit ribosomal RNA", at positions 337 to 797 of the family's 1533-position model. The record is from RNAcentral. Lineage: Bacteria; Pseudomonadati; Pseudomonadota; Gammaproteobacteria; Moraxellales; Moraxellaceae.
UCCUACGGGUGGCUGCAGUGGGGAAUAUUGGACAAUGGGGGGAACCCUGAUCCAGCCAUGCCGCGUGUGUGAAGAAGGCCUUAUGGUUGUAAAGCACUUUAAGCGAGGAGGAGGCUCCUGUAGUUAAUACCUACAGUGAGUGGACGUUACUCGCAGAAUAAGCACCGGCUAACUCUGUGCCAGCAGCCGCGGUAAUACAGAGGGUGCGAGCGUUAAUCGGAUUUACUGGGCGUAAAGCGUGCGUAGGCGGCUUUUUAAGUCGGAUGUGAAAUCCCCGAGCUUAACUUGGGAAUUGCAUUCGAUACUGGGAAGCUAGAGUAUGGGAGAGGAUGGUAGAAUUCCAGGUGUAGCGGUGAAAUGCGUAGAGAUCUGGAGGAAUACCGAUGGCGAAGGCAGCCAUCUGGCCUAAUACUGACGCUGAGGUACGAAAGCAUGGGGAGCAAACAGGAUUAGAUACCCUGGUAGUCCA